Molecule: long non-coding RNA, 1222 nt
Organism: Salmo salar (Atlantic salmon)
Lineage: Eukaryota; Metazoa; Chordata; Actinopteri; Salmoniformes; Salmonidae
Source: RefSeq, a predicted model, not a curated record
UAUGUGCAGUGUCACAUGUUUAUUGUAGAUUGUCACAUGACCAGAGCUGUUUACUUCCUGGUUGCACCAUGAGAAGAGGAUGGCUGCAUCAAAGCUCCCAAACAAAAGUUUCACUUUGAGUCAAGUUCUGGAUAUGUUGGAUCUAGGUGACUGCCCAGACAAGGCGUGCAACAUUGCAGUUAUCCCUCAGAGAUUGUGAUAGCGAUGGGUCAGAUAUGGACUAUGAGGGGGAGACAGGCCAUUUGCCAGCCAGGCUGUUGAAUGUAUAUGCUGAACCUAUGCAAACAGAUCAUGACAGGAACAACGUUAUCAGUAAUGAUGACCUACCCCUCACCACCCCACACUCUCCUCCCUGAGACUGGGUUGGGUCAUGGACCCAGUGUCGUACUUGGUGUUGCAGAGCAAUCUCAAGUGCCUCAAGGUUGCAAGUUCCUUCAUGACAACCUCUUCACUAUGCUUGCACUCCUCGAUGAAAUGACAAAAAGAGGAUAUGGGCGCACUGGAACGAUGAGGCAAAAUCGUCUGUUUGAUGUCCCAUUCAAGCCACAGAAAGACUUCAUGAAGUUACCCCGGGGAAACCUCUGAGGUUCUGACCCAAGGAGACAAGUUGCUGGUCCGUUAGAAAGACAAUAACAUUGUCACAGUGGCAACAAACAUGGAGGAGAAAUACAGUGAGACCUCUGUCAAGAGAUGGAACAAGGAGCAAUGUACCUUUUGUCAAAAGUCUUACAACAAAAUGCAUCAACCGAUACAAUGAGCACAUGGGUGGUGUUGAACUUCACAACCUACAGGUUUCAAGAUACCAAAUCUCCAUCAGGUCUAAGAAGUGGUGGUGGCCCAUCUUUGCAUGGUCUCAACAGUGCACUCGUAAACAGCCAUUUAUUUUACAGAGAUGUUAUGGGAGGGACAAUCGACCUGCUCACCUUCUCAUGGAUAGUGGCACAGUCUCUUAUGCAAAAGUUUGGCACGAAACCACUGAGCCACAGAAGGAGAUCUCUACUGGCUGCUACUGUUGAAGAUCAGGCAAGAUAUGACACAGCUUCUCACUGGCCAAUCAACACGAUGCACCGGUUCCAGAGAUGUCGUCAUUGUGACAAACGCACUACCUAUGCAUGUGAGAAAUGCAAAGUACCACUGCACAUUGAGUGCUUCAAGAUAUACCACGGACAGUAGAAAAGGAGAUAAGAGCGAAUGAAAAAGCCAAUAAAAGAAAAAUAGAAAA